This 600-nucleotide ribosomal RNA is filed under the name Escherichia coli. RNAcentral's name for it is "bacterial SSU rRNA". It matches the Rfam family "Bacterial small subunit ribosomal RNA", at positions 39 to 629 of the family's 1533-position model. The record is from RNAcentral. Lineage: Bacteria; Pseudomonadati; Pseudomonadota; Gammaproteobacteria; Enterobacterales; Enterobacteriaceae.
GCGUGGUGACGCUACCAUGCAGUCGAACGGUAACAGGAAGCAGCUUGCUGCUUUGCUGACGAGUGGCGGACGGGUGAGUAAUGUCUGGGAAACUGCCUGAUGGAGGGGGAUAACUACUGGAAACGGUAGCUAAUACCGCAUAACGUCGCAAGACCAAAGAGGGGGACCUUAGGGCCUCUUGCCAUCGGAUGUGCCCAGAUGGGAUUAGCUAGUAGGUGGGGUAACGGCUCACCUAGGCGACGAUCCCUAGCUGGUCUGAGAGGAUGACCAGCCACACUGGAACUGAGACACGGUCCAGACUCCUACGGGAGGCAGCAGUGGGGAAUAUUGCACAAUGGGCGCAAGCCUGAUGCAGCCAUGCCGCGUGUAUGAAGAAGGCCUUCGGGUUGUAAAGUACUUUCAGCGGGGAGGAAGGGAGUAAAGUUAAUACCUUUGCUCAUUGACGUUACCCGCAGAAGAAGCACCGGCUAACUCCGUGCCAGCAGCCGCGGUAAUACGGAGGGUGCAAGCGUUAAUCGGAAUUACUGGGCGUAAAGCGCACGCAGGCGGUUUGUUAAGUCAGAUGUGAAAUCCCCGGGCUCAACCUGGGAACUGCAUCUG